GGGUUGUGAGGUUAAGCGACUAAGCGUACACGGUGGAUGCCCUGGCAGUCAGAGGCGAUGAAGGACGUGCUAAUCUGCGAAAAGCGUCGGUAAGGUGAUAUGAACCGUUAUAACCGGCGAUGUCCGAAUGGGGAAACCCAGUGUGAUUCGUCACACUAUCGUUAACUGAAUACAUAGGUUAACGAGGCGAACCGGGGGAACUGAAACAUCUAAGUACCCCGAGGAAAAGAAAUCAACCGAGAUUCCCCCAGUAGCGGCGAGCGAACGGGGAGCAGCCCAGAGUCUGAAUCAGCUUGUGUGUUAGUGGAACGGUCUGGAAAGUCCGACGGUACAGGGUGAUAGUCCCGUACACCAAAAUGCACAGGCUGUGAACUCGAAGAGUAGGGCGGGACACGUGGUAUCCUGUCUGAAUAUGGGGGGACCAUCCUCCAAGGCUAAAUACUCCUGACUGACCGAUAGUGAACCAGUACCGUGAGGGAAAGGCGAAAAGAACCCCGGCGAGGGGAGUGAAAAAGAACCUGAAACCGUGUACGUACAAGCAGUGGGAGCACCUUCGGGUGUGACUGCGUACCUUUUGUAUAAUGGGUCAGCGACUUAUAUUCUGUAGCAAGGUUAACCGUAUAGGGGAGCCGCAGGGAAACCGAGUCUUAACUGGGCGUUAAGUUGCAGGGUAUAGACCCGAAACCCGGUGAUCUAGCCAUGGGCAGGUUGAAGGUUGGGUAACACUAACUGGAGGACCGAACCGACUAAUGUUGAAAAAUUAGCGGAUGACUUGUGGCUGGGGGUGAAAGGCCAAUCAAACCGGGAGAUAGCUGGUUCUCCCCGAAAGCUAUUUAGGUAGCGCCUCGUGAAUUCAUCUUCGGGGGUAGAGCACUGUUUCGGCUAGGGGGUCAUCCCGACUUACCAACCCGAUGCAAACUACGAAUACCGAAGAAUGUUAUCACGGGAGACACACGGCGGGUGCUAACGUCCGUCGUGAAGAGGGAAACAACCCAGACCGCCAGCUAAGGUCCCAAAGUCAUGGUUAAGUGGGAAACGAUGUGGGAAGGCACAGACAGCCAGGAUGUUGGCUUAGAAGCAGCCAUCAUUUAAAGAAAGCGUAAUAGCUCACUGGUCGAGUCGGCCUGCGCGGAAGAUGUAACGGGGCUAAACCAUGCACCGAAGCUGCGGCAGCGACACUAUGUGUUGUUGGGUAGGGGAGCGUUCUGUAAGCCUGCGAAGGUGUGCUGUGAGGCAUGCUGGAGGUAUCAGAAGUGCGAAUGCUGACAUAAGUAACGAUAAAGCGGGUGAAAAGCCCGCUCGCCGGAAGACCAAGGGUUCCUGUCCAACGUUAAUCGGGGCAGGGUGAGUCGACCCCUAAGGCGAGGCCGAAAGGCGUAGUCGAUGGGAAACAGGUUAAUAUUCCUGUACUUGGUGUUACUGCGAAGGGGGGACGGAGAAGGCUAUGUUAGCCGGGCGACGGUUGUCCCGGUUUAAGCAUGUAGGCUGGUUGUCCAGGCAAAUCCGGAUAAUCAAGGCUGAGGUGUGAUGACGAGGCACUACGGUGCUGAAGUAACAAAUGCCCUGCUUCCAGGAAAAGCCUCUAAGCAUCAGGUAACAUCAAAUCGUACCCCAAACCGACACAGGUGGUCAGGUAGAGAAUACCAAGGCGCUUGAGAGAACUCGGGUGAAGGAACUAGGCAAAAUGGUGCCGUAACUUCGGGAGAAGGCACGCUGGUGUGUAGGUGAAGCCCCUGCGGGUGGAGCUGAGACCAGUCGAAGAUACCAGCUGGCUGCAACUGUUUAUUAAAAACACAGCACUGUGCAAACACGAAAGUGGACGUAUACGGUGUGACGCCUGCCCGGUGCCGGAAGGUUAAUUGAUGGGGUUAUCCGUAAGGAGAAGCUCUUGAUCGAAGCCCCGGUAAACGGCGGCCGUAACUAUAACGGUCCUAAGGUAGCGAAAUUCCUUGUCGGGUAAGUUCCGACCUGCACGAAUGGCGUAAUGAUGGCCAGGCUGUCUCCACCCGAGACUCAGUGAAAUUGAACUCGCUGUGAAGAUGCAGUGUACCCGCGGCAAGACGGAAAGACCCCGUGAACCUUUACUAUAGCUUGACACUGAACAUUGAGCCUUGAUGUGUAGGAUAGGUGGGAGGCUUUGAAGCGUGGACGCCAGUCUGCGUGGAGCCAACCUUGAAAUACCACCCUUUAAUGUUUGAUGUUCUAACGUUGGCCCCUUAUCGGGGUUGCGGACAGUGUCUGGUGGGUAGUUUGACUGGGGCGGUCUCCUCCCAAAGCGUAACGGAGGAGCACGAAGGUUAGCUAAUCCUGGUCGGACAUCAGGAGGUUAGUGCAAUGGCAUAAGCUAGCUUGACUGCGAGCGUGACGGCGCGAGCAGGUGCGAAAGCAGGUCAUAGUGAUCCGGUGGUUCUGAAUGGAAGGGCCAUCGCUCAACGGAUAAAAGGUACUCCGGGGAUAACAGGCUGAUACCGCCCAAGAGUUCAUAUCGACGGCGGUGUUUGGCACCUCGAUGUCGGCUCAUCACAUCCUGGGGCUGAAGUAGGUCCCAAGGGUAUGGCUGUUCGCCAUUUAAAGUGGUACGCGAGCUGGGUUUAGAACGUCGUGAGACAGUUCGGUCCCUAUCUGCCGUGGGCGCUGGAGAAUUGAGGGGGGCUGCUCCUAGUACGAGAGGACCGGAGUGGACGCAUCACUGGUGUUCGGGUUGUCAUGCCAAUGGCACUGCCCGGUAGCUAAAUGCGGAAGAGAUAAGUGCUGAAAGCAUCUAAGCACGAAACUUGCCCCGAGAUGAGUUCUCCCUGAGACUUUAAGUCUCCUGAAGGAACGUUGAAGACGACGACGUUGAUAGGCCGGGUGUGUAAGCGCAGCGAUGCGUUGAGCUAACCGGUACUAAUGAACCGUGAGGCUUAACCUUACAACGCCGAAG
RNAcentral lists this ribosomal RNA (2923 nucleotides) under Klebsiella pneumoniae. Its description in RNAcentral is "bacterial LSU rRNA". It matches the Rfam family "Bacterial large subunit ribosomal RNA". The record is from RNAcentral. Lineage: Bacteria; Pseudomonadati; Pseudomonadota; Gammaproteobacteria; Enterobacterales; Enterobacteriaceae.